Molecule: ribosomal RNA, 440 nt
Filed under: uncultured bacterium
Lineage: Bacteria
Description: partial 16S ribosomal RNA
Rfam family: Bacterial small subunit ribosomal RNA
Source: RNAcentral
CCUACGGGAGGCAGCAGUAGGGAAUAUUGCUCAAUGGGGGAAACCCUGAAGCAGCAACGCCGCGUGGAGGAUGAAGGUUUUCGGAUUUUAAACUCCUUUUGUUAGAGAAGAUAAUGACGGUAUCUAACGAAUAAGCACCGGCUAACUCCGGGCCAGCAGCCGCGGUAAUACGGAGGGUGCAAGCGUUACUCGGAAUCACUGGGCGUAAAGAGCGCGUAGGCGGGAUAGCAAGUCAGAUGUGAAAUCCUAUGGCUUAACCAUAGAACUGCAUUUGAAACUGGUAUUCUAGAGUAUGGGAGAGGUAGGUGGAAUUCUUGGUGUAGGGGUAAAAUCCGUAGAGAGCAAGAGGAAUACUCAGUGCGAAGGCGACCUGCUAGAACAUAACUGACGCUGAUGCGCGAAAGCGUGGGGAGCAAACAGGAUUAGAUACCCGAGUAGUC